CGGACGGGUGAGUAACACGUGGAUAACCUACCUAUAAGACUGGGAUAACUUCGGGAAACCGGAGCUAAUACCGGAUAAUAUAUUGAACCGCAUGGUUCAAUAGUGAAAGACGGUUUUGCUGUCACUUAUAGAUGGAUCCGCGCCGCAUUAGCUAGUUGGUAAGGUAACGGCUUACCAAGGCAACGAUGCGUAGCCGCCUGAGAGGGUGAUCGGCCACACUGGAACUGAGACACGGUCCAG
RNAcentral lists this ribosomal RNA (240 nucleotides) under uncultured Staphylococcus sp. Its description in RNAcentral is "partial 16S ribosomal RNA". It matches the Rfam family "Bacterial small subunit ribosomal RNA", at positions 99 to 334 of the family's 1533-position model. Lineage: Bacteria; Bacillati; Bacillota; Bacilli; Caryophanales; Staphylococcaceae. The record is from RNAcentral.